UAGUAGAGUUUUGCAGGACCUGUAGUGGC
RNAcentral lists this non-coding RNA (29 nucleotides) under Rattus norvegicus (Norway rat). Lineage: Eukaryota; Metazoa; Chordata; Mammalia; Rodentia; Muridae. The record is from RNAcentral.